UCAUUAAGAAAAUCAUCAUUUGCAUCCAUAUACUUUGUCGAGAUGACUACUCAUAUUGGCCAAAUCAGCAUUUGCACACAUAUACUUUGUCGAGAUGACUAGUCAUAUAUGCCAAUAUUUCCAGCACGGGAUUUUUAUGGCUAGUCAUAUAGGCCAAUAUUUCCAGCAUGGGAUUUUUAACCAAGGCACGUGAUUUUGCUUACUAAUUGUCCUUUUGACAUACCAAAAAGGCUGGGGCUGG
This 241-nucleotide long non-coding RNA is filed under the name Prunus persica (peach). RNAcentral's name for it is "long non-coding RNA (PPER_LNC007248)". Lineage: Eukaryota; Viridiplantae; Streptophyta; Magnoliopsida; Rosales; Rosaceae. The record is from RNAcentral.